GAGUUUGAUUCUGGCUCAGGAUGAACGCUGGCGGCGUGCUUAACACAUGCAAGUCGAACGAGAACCAUUGGAUCGAGGAUUCGUCCAAGUGAAGGUGGGGAAAGUGGCGGACGGGUGAGUAACGCGUGAGCAAUCUGCCUUGGAGUGGGGAAUAACGGCUGGAAACAGCCGCUAAUACCGCAUGAUACAGCUGGGAGGCAUCUCCCUGGCUGUCAAAGAUUUAUCGCUCUGAGAUGAGCUCGCGUCUGAUUAGCUAGUUGGCGGGGUAACGGCCCACCAAGGCGACGAUCAGUAGCCGGACUGAGAGGUUGGCCGGCCACAUUGGGACUGAGACACGGCCCAGACUCCUACGGGAGGCAGCAGUGGGGAAUAUUGGGCAAUGGGCGCAAGCCUGACCCAGCAACGCCGCGUGAAGGAAGAAGGCUUUCGGGUUGUAAACUUCUUUUGUCAAGGACGAAGCAAGUGACGGUACCUGACGAAUAAGCCACGGCUAACU
This 496-nucleotide ribosomal RNA is filed under the name uncultured bacterium. RNAcentral describes it as "bacterial SSU rRNA". It matches the Rfam family "Bacterial small subunit ribosomal RNA", at positions 9 to 502 of the family's 1533-position model. The record is from RNAcentral.